Molecule: ribosomal RNA, 301 nt
Filed under: uncultured bacterium
Lineage: Bacteria
Description: partial 16S ribosomal RNA
Rfam family: Bacterial small subunit ribosomal RNA
Source: RNAcentral
CAGCCGCCGCGGUAAUACGUAGGUGGCAAGCGUUGUCCGGAAUUAUUGGGCGUAAAGGGUUCGCAGGCGGUUUCUUAAGUCUGAUGUGAAAGCCCCCGGCUCAACCGGGGAGGGUCAUUGGAAACUGGGAAACUUGAGUGCAGAAGAGGAGAGUGGAAUUCCACGUGUAGCGGUGAAAUGCGUAGAGAUGUGGAGGAACACCAGUGGCGAAGGCGACUCUCUGGUCUGUAACUGACGCUGAGGAGCGAAAGCGUGGGGAGCGAACAGGAUUAGAGACCCCGGUAGUCCCUGUCUCUUAUAC